Gorilla gorilla gorilla (western lowland gorilla) is the source of this 117-nucleotide non-coding RNA. It matches the Rfam family "Metazoan signal recognition particle RNA". From Rfam's summary of the family: The signal recognition particle (SRP) is a universally conserved ribonucleoprotein. It is involved in the co-translational targeting of proteins to membranes. The record is from Rfam. NCBI's taxonomy places the organism in Eukaryota, Metazoa, Chordata, Mammalia, Primates, Hominidae.
GCCGGGCGCGGUGGCUCACGCCUGUAAUCCCAGCACUUUGGGAGGCUGAGGCGGGCGGAUCACCUGAGGUCAGGAGUUUGAGACCAGCCUGGCCAACAUGGUGAAACCCCGUCUCUA